RNAcentral lists this ribosomal RNA (621 nucleotides) under Trinorchestia longiramus. Its description in RNAcentral is "12S ribosomal RNA". The record is from RNAcentral. Lineage: Eukaryota; Metazoa; Arthropoda; Malacostraca; Amphipoda; Talitridae.
GUUUAAUUAAUAACUUUAAUAAAUUUAUUGUUAAAUAUAACAUUAUAUACCAUGAUUAUUUAAGCUAGUUUAUAUAAUUAUAUAUUUUAUUUGAGCUUAAGUAUAUUUGUAAAAUUGGUGCCAGCAGCUGCGGUUAGACCAAAAAUAUUAUAUUUUGUAGGGGGAAUACCUAAUUAUGGUUAUUAUUUUUAUUUGGUGAAAAAUUAAAAUAUAUUUUUAUUAUAUUGUUAGGUUUAACUUUAAUAUUAAAAUAGGAUUAGAGACCCUAGUAUAGUGAAAUAAGUAUCCUCAGUAAUAUAUUGAAAUUGUAAAAAUUUGGCGGCUUUAAAUUUUCAGAGGGGCUUGUAUGUAAACGAUAAACCGCGAUUAGUUUGUCUUUUUUAUUUUUUGUAUAUCGUCAUGUAAGUGAUUUUUGUUAAGUAAAACCUAUAUUAGAUCAAGAUGCAGAGAUAGUAAAGCCAUAUUAGCCACAAUAUGUAGUAAUAUACUUAAAAAUAAGGUUUUGAGGAGGAUUUGAUUUUAAUUUUUAGACAGAUGAAUAUAAUUUUUAAGUGUUCAGAUCGCCCGUCAUUCUCUCUGAGACAAGUCGAAACAAAGUUAGUCUACUGGAAAGUAGGCUUU